GCCAGACUCCUACGGGAGGCAGCAGUGGGGAAUAUUGCACAAUGGGGGAAACCCUGAUGCAGCGACGCCGCGUGAGUGAAGAAGUAUUUCGGUAUGUAAAGCUCUAUCAGCAGGAACGAGACAAGACGGUACCUGACUAAGAAGCCCCGGCUAACUACGUGCCAGCAGCCGCGGUAAUACGUAGGGGGCAAGCGUUAUCCGGAAUCACUGGGUGUAAAGGGAGCGUAGACGGCUGAGCAAGCCUGAAGUGAAAGGCGGGGGCCCAACCCCUGGACUGCUUUGGGAACUGUACGGCUGGAGUGCAGGAGGGGUAAGUGGAAUUCCUAGUGUAGCGGUGAAAUGCGUAGAUAUUAGGAGGAACACCAGUGGCGAAGGCGGCUUACUGGACUGUAACUGACGUUGAGGCUCGAAAGCGUGGGGAGCAAACAGGAUUAGAUACCCUUGUAU
RNAcentral lists this ribosomal RNA (447 nucleotides) under uncultured bacterium. RNAcentral's name for it is "bacterial SSU rRNA". It matches the Rfam family "Bacterial small subunit ribosomal RNA", at positions 330 to 793 of the family's 1533-position model. The record is from RNAcentral.